Molecule: ribosomal RNA, 429 nt
Filed under: Acidobacteriota bacterium
Lineage: Bacteria; Pseudomonadati; Acidobacteriota
Description: Acidobacteria bacterium partial 16S ribosomal RNA
Rfam family: Bacterial small subunit ribosomal RNA
Source: RNAcentral
UGGGGAAUUUUGGACAAUGGGGGAAACCCUGAUCCAGCCAUCCCGCGUGUGCGAUGAAGGCCUUCGGGUUGUAAAGCACUUUUGGCAGGAAAGAAACGUCAUGGGUUAAUACCCCGUGAAACUGACGGUACCUGCAGAAUAAGCACCGGCUAACUACGUGCCAGCAGCCGCGGUAAUACGUAGGGUGCAAGCGUUAAUCGGAAUUACUGGGCGUAAAGCGUGCGCAGGCGGUUCGGAAAGAAAGAUGUGAAAUCCCAGGGCUCAACUUUGGAACUGCAUUUUUAACUGCCGGGCUAGAGUGUGUCAGAGGGAGGUGGAAUUCCGCGUGUAGCAGUGAAAUGCGUAGAUAUGCGGAGGAACACCGAUGGCGAAGGCAGCCUCCUGGGAUAACACUGACGCUCAUGCACGAAAGCGUGGGGAGCAAACAGG